GCCACGGUGGUCUAGCGGUUAGAACGCUGGCCUUGUAAUCCUGAGGUCUCGGGUUCGAUUCCCGGCGGUGCCC
This is a non-coding RNA of Zootermopsis nevadensis, 73 nucleotides long. The record is from Rfam. NCBI's taxonomy places the organism in Eukaryota, Metazoa, Arthropoda, Insecta, Blattodea, Termopsidae.